This 86-nucleotide transfer RNA is filed under the name Ezakiella coagulans. RNAcentral describes it as "Bacteroides coagulans tRNA". It matches the Rfam family "tRNA". From Rfam's summary of the family: Transfer RNA (tRNA) molecules are approximately 80 nucleotides in length. Their secondary structure includes four short double-helical elements and three loops (D, anti-codon, and T loops). Further hydrogen bonds mediate the characteristic L-shaped molecular structure. tRNAs have two regions of fundamental functional importance: the anti-codon, which is responsible for specific mRNA codon recognition, and the 3' end, to which the tRNAs corresponding amino acid is attached (by aminoacyl-tRNA synthetases). tRNAs cope with the degeneracy of the genetic code in two manners: having more than one tRNA (with a specific anti-codon) for a particular amino acid; and 'wobble' base-pairing, i.e. permitting non-standard base-pairing at the 3rd anti-codon position. Lineage: Bacteria; Bacillati; Bacillota; Tissierellia. The record is from Rfam by way of RNAcentral.
GGAAAAGUACCGAAGUGGUCGUAACGGGGCGCUCUCGAAAAGCGUUUGCGGGCAACCGCACGUGGGUUCGAAUCCCACCUUUUCCG